UACGUAGGGCGCAAGCGUUAUCCGGAUUUAUUGGGCGUAAAGAGCUCGUAGGCGGUUUGUCGCGUCUGCCGUGAAAGUCCGGGGCUCAACUCCGGAUCUGCGGUGGGUACGGGCAGACUAGAGUGAUGUAGGGGAGACUGGAAUUCCUGGUGUAGCGGUGAAAUGCGCAGAUAUCAGGAGGAACACCGGUGGCGAAGGCGGGUCUCUGGGCCGAUACUGACGCUGAGGAGCGAAAGCGUGGGGAGCGAACAGG
Molecule: ribosomal RNA, 253 nt
Filed under: uncultured bacterium
Lineage: Bacteria
Description: partial 16S ribosomal RNA
Rfam family: Bacterial small subunit ribosomal RNA
Source: RNAcentral